RNAcentral lists this ribosomal RNA (99 nucleotides) under Castor canadensis (American beaver). The record is from RNAcentral. Lineage: Eukaryota; Metazoa; Chordata; Mammalia; Rodentia; Castoridae.
GUCUAUAGCCGUAUCACCCUGAACGUGCCUGAUCUCAUCUGAUCUCAGAAGCUAAGCAGGGUCGGGUCUGGUUAGUACUUGGAUGGUAAGUUUUAGACA